AAGAAGCACAACACAAUCACGAUCAUGUCAAUGCAAAAUCCCACCAAAGAUAAAGAAGAUUUCACAAACAGAGUAAUGCCUCUUCCUCUCACAAUUUUCUCUUCUUCUCCCUCUCCUACCCCUGCUCCACUCCGAUGGCUUCUCUUCCUUCUCUUUCGAUCAGCAGUAGUACUGCUCACAAGAUUGAAACUGAUUCAAGGAAGCUUUCUUCUUCCUCUUCCUCAGUUGAAAAGGGCCUCUCUUUCCAUCGAAGCCAAGAAGUGCCACUCGAGUCGAGCACAGAGGCCUUGCAGCCCUUCGAACCUGCUCUGUACACUCCUCUUUUUCAAAGAUGCAGUGAAAUCAAGUCCUUUCCGCUGCUGAAGCCCUCCACGCACACGUGCUGAAGACCGGAACCCUCGAGGAUUUACUGGUCUCCACAUCCCUCGUCAACACUUACAUGAAAUGCGGUGCCUCAACCCAUGCCCACAAGCUGUUCAACGUUAUUCCCCAGAAAAACAUUGUCACCUGGACCACGCUCAAUAACCAGGCCGAUGAAGCUGUUCGAGUCUUUAUUCAACUCCGUGAGUCUGGUUUCUACCCAACAAAUUUCACACUUGGGCCAGUCUUUAAUGCUUGUUCGUCCCUUUACUCUAUGGAGCUUGGCAAGCAGCUUCAUGGGUAUAUAAUAAAGUAUCAUCUUGAGUCUGAUACCAGCAUGGGGAACUCACUAUGCAGUUUGUACUCUAAAUGCAGGAGCUUGGAAUAUGCAGUGAAGGCUUUCCAAAGGAUUCCAAAUAAAAAUGUCAUAUCUUGGACUACAAUUAUAUCUUCCUGUGGUGAUAAUGGCAAUGCUGAGUUGGGUCUGAAGAUCUUCCAUGACAUGCUAUUAGAAGACGCCUUACCUAACGAAUUCACACUCACCAGCGCUCUGAGUUUAUGUACUGAAACACAGUCAUUUGGGCUUGGGAAGCAAGUUCACGCCUUUUGUGUGAAAUAUGGCUGUGAGUCCAGUGUUCCUAUGAAGAAUUCAAUCAUGUAUUUUUACCUUAAGUCAGGGGAGACUGAAGAAGCCAUGAGGAUAUUUAAUGGAAUGGAGACUGUUAGUUUGAUCACAUGGAAUGCAAUGAUCGCCGGUCAUGCACAGUUAAUAAAUAUUGCAAAGGAUGGUGCCUCAGCUCAGAGAAGUGGAAUGGCAGCAUUGAACAUGUUUCAAAUGCUUCACAAGUCGGGCAUGAAGCCUGAUCUCUUUACCUUUUCGAGUGUUCUAAGUGCUUGCAGUGACUUGGUAGCACUAGAACAAGGGGAACAGGUCCAUGCCCAAGCAAUGAAGACUGGUUUUUUAUCAGAUGUGGUGGUGAACAGUGCAUUGGUGACCAUGUAUAACAAGUGUGGUUGCAUAGAGAAGGCUGCCAUGGCUUUUGUUGAGAUGUCCUCUAGGACUUUAAUUUCGUGGACCUCAAUGAUCACUGCCUACUCCCAGCAUGGCCGUUCCAUCGAAGCUUUACAGCUUUUCGAGGACAUGAGAAUGGCGGGGGUUAAGCCUAACAAGAUUACUUUUGUUGGAGUUCUCUCAGCUUGCAGCCAUGCAGGUUUGGCCAAGGAGGCUGAGCACUACUUCAACAUGAUGAGGAAAGAGUACAAGAUUGAGCCAGUUAUUGACCACUAUGCUUGCAUGGUUGAUAUGUUUGUGAGGUUGGGUCAAAUGGAGGAGGCGUUUAUGUUUGUGGAGAGGAUGGGUUUCGAGCCUAAUGAGAUAAUUUGGUCUAUUCUAAUCGCCGGAUGUCGAACCCAUGGGAAUAUGGAUUUGUGCUAUUAUGCAGCAGAAAGAUUGCUUGAGCAAAGACCCAAAGAGAUUGAGACAUAUGUGCUGUUACUGAACAUGUAUUUAUCAGCUGGGAGGUGGCAAGGUGUUUCAAAGGUGAGGAAGAUGAUGAAGGAACAGAAAAUUGGGAGCAUCCACGACCGUAGUAGGAUAAAUAUUCGCGAUAAAAUUUAUUACUUUAGAGCUGAUGAUAGAUCUUAUUCUUGGAGUUCUGAGUUGUAUGUAUUUCUUGAGAAUUUGAUUGAUAAAGCUAGAUGCCUGGGUUAUAUUCCUUAUAAGGAUGUGAAUGGUUCUGAAGGUGAGGAGGAAAGGAUAUUGAGCUCAGCUGUUCAUCACAGCGAGAGAUUGGCAGUGGCUUUUGGGCUGCUGAAGUUACCUAAGGAGGCACCAGUUCGCAUUGUUAAGAAUAUAAGUAUGUGUAGAGAUUGCCAUAGUGCUGUGAAGUACUUCUCCAUUCUAACCAAAAGAGAAAUUGUUGUUCGAGAUAGAAAAAGGCUGCAUAGAUUCAGAGAUGGACGUUGCUGUUGUGGGAUUUUGCUCAUUGAGGGAGUGAACUGCAGAUUUCAUUCGUCAUAGAAUUCAGUUGAUUACUUUUGAGAUGAUUCCUAUGAUCUUUGUGAAUAAUUUGGUGAAUUAUAACGCUUUGAAUGGAAAUCUGAACUCUUUGGGGCUGUCGGGUAGCACCCAAGAUUUGAUUUAAGUAGGAUUUUAUAAAUCCUCUAAAUCUGAAUUUUGAAAAUCCUGAAAAUUGUUUGGUGACAUUCACGAUAAAUCUUAUUAAAUCCCGUGUGACUGUUUGGCUAUAGAGCGGAUUUAACGAGCAGAAUCUUCCUCUGGAGCCAAUGGAUUUCCUAAAUCCUGCAAAAAACAGGAUUUCGAAAAUCUGGGAUUUAGUACGAAAAGGCGGAAUUUUCCAUCUACGGCAGCUUUCAUUUGUCGUGAGAUUUGGUUUUGCAUUUUAGGCCGUUUGGCUGGAUUUCACUUAAAUCCGCUUCAAAUCUGGCCUAAAUCCUGCAACCAAACAGCCCCUUUGUAUGGCUGUCGUAAGGGAUUUGUAGUGCAUUGAAGGCUCUGCAACCUGAAUGACUGGAAGAUUUCUACUCUUCUUUCUUCACUAA
Molecule: RNA transcript, 2922 nt
Organism: Dendrobium catenatum
Lineage: Eukaryota; Viridiplantae; Streptophyta; Magnoliopsida; Asparagales; Orchidaceae
Gene name: pentatricopeptide repeat-containing protein At3g49170, chloroplastic-like
Exons: 4
Source: RefSeq, a predicted model, not a curated record